UAUCGAUCGGCGUGUCCUCCACUCCCCUGGUGCCGAGAGAUAAGGAGACACACUCUUUAGAGCAAUAUAAUUUCUUUUGACCUAUCUGCUUGCUACAGACUUAUGAUGAAUAGCCAGAGUGGCUGAAGUCCUUUAUCACCAAAGUUACCCCCUUGAUAUAAUAUUGAUUCUUUAUAACUAGCUCGCCACACAAAAAUCAAACUGUCCACUUGGCCAUCAUCAUCAUCAAUAUCAUCACAAAGGCGGAGGAAUGAAGAUCCCUGCGCCUCUGAAGGCGAGCCUUUACAAUCUCCUCUGUAGGCCUAAUCUUUAUUUUGCUGAUGAUGAAAGGAGAGGGGAAACGAGGCAAGGUGCCAUUUAAGACGAGGUGCCUUUUAAUCCGGCAGAGACUACAUACACACACACACACACACACAUAGAGAGAGGGAGAGGGAGGGAAGAUCUAGACAGGAUUGCCAAACAGCUUGGACUUCUGGGAAACUAAUUCAUUUGGUGCGAGAAUUUUGAUCGACAGAAAGAUUCUGUCUGAUUUGAGCUUUUACACACCAUUCAAUACCACUUCCAUACUUGUCCCAUGAUUUUCCUGUUAUGGUACACAGGGCUGAAGAAAAAAAAGUCCAUGCGCAAAACAACUCUUUAAAAAAAUAUAUGCCAAAUGAAUGACUGCAGUGAGGAGGGGAAAUUCAUGUUUGUUUUGAGACACUGCGGAUUCCGGAUGCGCCUCGGAGGUAUCCUUUAACCCUAAAAAAAAAAAAAAAAAAAAAAAAAAAAAAACACCGUCUGGUUUUGCUGCAUAGCUGGAGCCCCGUGGAAGCUAUUCCAACGGGGCCACUCUCUCUAUUCACCGAGAGAAGGGAGAGCGCUGCUGGUGGAGGACUCGAGGUGGAGGGGUGGGGGUGGGGGAGACUGAGAGGGUGGGAGAGGAGGGAGAGGAGAAACGUGUAAUCACCCAAACAACCAUUUUUACCCAUUUCACCCCCUCUGGAUCUGUGUCGCAAGCCCGCCGCGAGGUUUAUCAUUCUUUCACUGCGGAUACCGUGGAGGGAGGCCGGAGCGCGAGGAAGACACCAAAAAGAGGAAAGGUGGAUCCACGGGGGGUGAAGAAAUCAUGUGGCAAAAACACAUCACUCCCGAGGCCCAGUUUGUAUGGCUGUCAGCGGCGACCGGCGAGGUGACGGACAGGACCCGGGAGAGGGGACAGCUGCUGCACGUCAAUCCACAUCAUAAUUUGAAAAGCUUUUCCGCCGAAGCUGAAACGGAGGGUAGAAGAAAGAGGAAAGAAGCCACGAUCUGCGGAAAUCACCCCACUCAGUCCCAUCCGUAUCGCUCCCUUCCCGCUUCUGGCUUUUUUUUGCCCUCUGCUGUCAAGACCCGAAAUUAUUUGGUGACCUCUUUCUGCUGUAGAUGGCGAGGCCGAACACUAUGUAUUACGGCGUCUUUUAGUCCCGCAUCAACUUGUGAGAAAGCUUGAUCGAAAAGGUUGUACAGUGAACGUAAAUCCUUGUGAAGAUUCUGCAUUUUGUCUUUUUUUUUUCCUUUUGAUUUGUUCAAAUAAAAUGUAAACACUAGUGCA
Molecule: long non-coding RNA, 1573 nt
Organism: Mugil cephalus (flathead mullet)
Lineage: Eukaryota; Metazoa; Chordata; Actinopteri; Mugiliformes; Mugilidae
Exons: 4
Source: RefSeq, a predicted model, not a curated record